UGGGGAAUCUUCCGCAAUGGACGAAAGUCUGACGGAGCAACGCCGCGUGAGUGAUGACGGCCUUCGGGUUGUAAAGCUCUGUUAAUCGGGACGAAUGGUUCUUGUGCAAAUAGUGCGAGGAUUUGACGGUACCGGAAUAGAAAGCCACGGCUAACUACGUGCCAGCAGCCGCGGUAAUACGUAGGUGGCAAGCGUUGUCCGGAAUUAUUGGGCGUAAAGCGCGCGCAGGCGGAUUGGUCAGUCUGUCUUAAAAGUUCGGGGCUUAACCCCGUGAUGGGAUGGAAACUGCCAAUCUAGAGUAUCGGAGAGGAAAGUGGAAUUCCUAGUGUAGCGGAGAAAUGCGUAGAUAUUAGGAAGAACACCAGUGGCGAAGGCGACUUUCUGGACGAAAACUGACGCUGAGGCGCGAAAGCCAGGGGAGCGAACGGG
This 429-nucleotide ribosomal RNA is filed under the name bacterium. RNAcentral's name for it is "partial 16S ribosomal RNA". It matches the Rfam family "Bacterial small subunit ribosomal RNA", at positions 355 to 776 of the family's 1533-position model. The record is from RNAcentral.